Molecule: non-coding RNA, 85 nt
Organism: Canariomyces notabilis
Lineage: Eukaryota; Fungi; Ascomycota; Sordariomycetes; Sordariales; Chaetomiaceae
Source: the annotation of a RefSeq genome assembly
GGCCUCGUGGUGUAGUGGUAGCAUACUUGCUUUGGGUGUAAACCGCAUAUGCAAGUGGUCCCAGGUUCAAGCCCUGGUGGGGCCC